UACGAAGGGUGCUAGCGUUGUUCGGAAUCACUGGGCGUAAAGCGCGCGUAGGCGGUUAUUCAAGUCAGGGGUGAAAUCCUGAGGCUCAACCUCAGAAUUGCCCUUGAAACUAAAUAACCAGAGUGUCGGAGGGGAUAGCGGAAUUGCUAAUGUAGCGGUGAAAUGCGUAGAUAUUAGCAGGAACACCGGUGGCGAAGGCGGCUAUCUGGACGACAACUGACGCUGAGGCGCGAAAGCGCGGGGAUCAAACAGG
Molecule: ribosomal RNA, 253 nt
Filed under: uncultured bacterium
Lineage: Bacteria
Description: partial 16S ribosomal RNA
Rfam family: Bacterial small subunit ribosomal RNA
Source: RNAcentral